AGUAUGACUCUCGGCAACGGAUAUCUCAGCUCUCACAUCGAUGAAGAAUGUAGCAAAAUGCGAUACAUGGUGCAAAUUGCAGAAUCCAGCGAACCAUCGAGUCUUUGAAUGCAAGUUGCGCCCGAGGCCAUCCGGUCGAGGGAACGCCUGUCUGGGCACUGAGC
RNAcentral lists this ribosomal RNA (164 nucleotides) under Plectocomia mulleri. RNAcentral's name for it is "5.8S ribosomal RNA". It matches the Rfam family "5.8S ribosomal RNA". From Rfam's summary of the family: 5.8S ribosomal RNA (5.8S rRNA) is a component of the large subunit of the eukaryotic ribosome. The record is from RNAcentral. Lineage: Eukaryota; Viridiplantae; Streptophyta; Magnoliopsida; Arecales; Arecaceae.